UGGGCGCAGCCUGAUCCAGCAUGCCGCGUGAGUGAAGAAGGCCUUCGGGUUGUAAAGCUCUUUUGUCAGGGAAGAAACGGUGAGCUCUAAUACAGUUUGCUAAUGACGGUACCUGAAGAAUAAGCACCGGCUAACUACGUGCCAGCAGCCGCGGUAAUACGUAGGGUGCAAGCGUUAAUCGGAAUUACUGGGCGUAAAGCGUGCGCAGGCGGUUUUGUAAGUUUGUCGUGAAAUCCCCGGGCUCAACCUGGGAAUGGCGAUGAAGACUGCAAGGCUAGAGUUUGGCAGAGGGGGGUAGAAUUCCACGUGUAGCAGUGAAAUGCGUAGAUAUGUGGAGGAACACCGAUGGCGAAGGCAGCCCCCUGGGUCAAAACUGACGCUCAUGCACGAAAGCGUGGGGAGCAAACAGGAUUAGAUACCCUGGUAGUCCACGCCCUAAACGAUGUCUACUAGUUGUCGGGUCUUAAUUGACUUGGUAACGCAGCUAACGCGUGAAGUAGACCGCCUGGGGAGUACGGUCGCAAGAUUAAAACUCAAAAAAAUUGACGGA
This 550-nucleotide ribosomal RNA is filed under the name uncultured bacterium. Its description in RNAcentral is "bacterial SSU rRNA". It matches the Rfam family "Bacterial small subunit ribosomal RNA", at positions 372 to 917 of the family's 1533-position model. The record is from RNAcentral.